UGGGGAAUAUUGGACAAUGGGCGGAAGCCUGAUCCAGCAACGCCGCGUGAGGGAUGAAGGCCUUCGGGUUGUAAACCUCUUUCACCAUUGACGAAGCCUUUGGGUGACGGUAGGUGGAGAAGAAGCACCGGCCAACUACGUGCCAGCAGCCGCGGUAAUACGUAGGGUGCGAGCGUUGUCCGGAAUUAUUGGGCGUAAAGGGCUCGUAGGCGGUUUGUCGCGUCGGGAGUGAAAACAUCGGGCUUAACUCGAUGCUUGCUUUCGAUACGGGCAGACUUGAGGUAUGCAGGGGAGAAUGGAAUUCCUGGUGUAGCGGUGAAAUGCGCAGAUAUCAGGGGGAACACCGGUGGCGAAGGCGGUUCUCUGGGCAUUACCUGACGCUGAGGAGCGAAAGUGUGGGGAGCGAACAGG
This 411-nucleotide ribosomal RNA is filed under the name Acidobacteriota bacterium. Its description in RNAcentral is "Acidobacteria bacterium partial 16S ribosomal RNA". It matches the Rfam family "Bacterial small subunit ribosomal RNA", at positions 355 to 776 of the family's 1533-position model. Lineage: Bacteria; Pseudomonadati; Acidobacteriota. The record is from RNAcentral.